This 460-nucleotide ribosomal RNA is filed under the name uncultured bacterium. Its description in RNAcentral is "partial 16S ribosomal RNA". It matches the Rfam family "Bacterial small subunit ribosomal RNA", at positions 338 to 795 of the family's 1533-position model. The record is from RNAcentral.
CCUACGGUGGGCAGCAGUGAGGAAUAUUGGUCAAUGGACGAGAGUCUGAACCAGCCAAGUAGCGUGAAGGAUGACUGCCCUAUGGAUUGUAAACUUCUUUUAUCAAGGAAUAAAAUCUUGCACGUGUGCCUUUUUGUAUGUACCUUAUGAAUAAGGAUCGGCUAACUCCGUGCCAGCAGCCGCGGUAAUACGGAGGAUUCGAGCGUUAUCCGGAUUUAUUGGGUUUAAAGGGGGCGUAGGUGGAUUGGUAAGUCAGGUGUGAAAGUCUGCGGCUCAACCGUAGAAUUGCAGUUGAAACUGGCAGUCUUGAGUAGAGGAGAGGUAGGCGGAAUGCGUGGUGUAGCGGUGAAAUGCUUAGAUAUCACGAAGAACUCCGAUUGCGAAGGCAGCUGACUGGACUGUAACUGACACUGAGGCUCGAAAGUGUGGGUAUCAAACAGGAUUAGAUACCCGUGUAGUC